This 466-nucleotide ribosomal RNA is filed under the name uncultured bacterium. RNAcentral's name for it is "partial 16S ribosomal RNA". It matches the Rfam family "Bacterial small subunit ribosomal RNA", at positions 28 to 507 of the family's 1533-position model. The record is from RNAcentral.
GACGAACGCUGGCGGCGUGCUUAACACAUGCAAGUCGAACGGAAAGGCCCUGCUUGCAGGGUACUCGAGUGGCGAACGGGUGAGUAACACGUGGGUGAUCUGCCCUGCACUUCGGGAUAAGCUUGGGAAACUGGGUCUAAUACCGGAUAGGAACCAUCUUUAGUGUGGUGGUUGGAAAGUUUUUUCGGUGUAGGAUGAGCUCGCGGCCUAUCAGCUUGUUGGUGGGGUAAUGGCCUACCAAGGCGGCGACGGGUAGCCGGCCUGAGAGGGUGUACGGCCACAUUGGGACUGAGAGACGGCCCAGACUCCUACGGGAGGCAGCAGUGGGGAAUAUUGCACAGUGGGCGCAAGCCUGAUGCAGCGACGCCGCGUGGGGGAUGAAGGCCUUCGGGUUGUAAACUCCUUUCGCUAGGGACGAAGCUUUGUUGUGACGGUACCUAGAUAAGAAGCACCGGCUAACUACGUG